UCUGAGUUUAGUUUUCCUUUA
This 21-nucleotide non-coding RNA is filed under the name Caenorhabditis elegans. The record is from RNAcentral. Lineage: Eukaryota; Metazoa; Nematoda; Chromadorea; Rhabditida; Rhabditidae.